This is an RNA transcript of Glycine soja, 2733 nucleotides long. It is a transcript of the gene named protein FAR1-RELATED SEQUENCE 6-like, with no coding region annotated. The record is from RefSeq and is a predicted model, not a curated record. The transcript is spliced from 3 exons. NCBI's taxonomy places the organism in Eukaryota, Viridiplantae, Streptophyta, Magnoliopsida, Fabales, Fabaceae.
GGGAGUGAGAAGUGAUGCCCAUGCUUAUUUUGCUUUUGCCACCGUCAAGGGGAGUAAGGACUAAGGAGCAGCAUUGACCUGUCCACAGCCUACAAGAGUGUGAUGCGCGUAAUACCCAAACUUUCACCAAAAUAGGGGAGGCUGUUGUUCUUGUCUUGAUUGAAACUUAAAAGGUUGUUUCUCAUUCACCAGUGGAUUUUUUUUUUUCUUUUUUGAAUUUUCUGAUGGCUGUACUGUACACUGGGAAAAUUAGGAUCUAGGUUCACUAAUCAAACGGUUUAGGUUUUGAUGAUAAAAUGCAAACAUAGGCAUAAUAAACUUACCACCUUCACUUUUUGACUACAAGUUCCAAAUUCUGAUGGCUCCUCGCAUUGCAAAGGUAGGGGGAAGGUUAUUGUACGCGGCCUCCCCCUUGCAUAUGCAAAGAGACUGCUUCUGGAUUCGAACCCAUGACCGACCAGUCACAAUUGGCAACUUUAGGGUUGCGCUAGGGCUCGCCCUCACACCAGAUGGAAGAAGUUUGUCUGAAUAGUGAGCCACUUUUUGAUGAACGCAAUGAGGUUGAUGUUGAGGGGAACUCUUCUAUCGCAGAACAUGAUCUUGAAUCUUUAAACUCACAAACGAAUAACUCUCCACUUCCAACUGUGGGUCUGGAGUUUGAUUCCUUUGAUGAAGUUUACAACUUCUACAAUAUCUAUGCAAAGGAAUAAGGCUUUGGUAUCAGAGUGAGCAAUUCAUGGUUUAGAUCGGAAAAAAAAAGAGUGCUAUAGAGCAAAACUUAGCUGCAGUAGUGCUGGUUUUAAGAAAAAAAGUGAAGCCAAUAAUCCAAGACCAAAAACAAGAACUGGUUGUCCUGCAAUGAUAGUGAUUAGAAUGGUUGAGUCCAAGAGAUGGAGAAUAGUGGAAGUUGAGCUUCAACACGACCAUCAAGUGAGUCCACAGAGCAAACGGUUUUACAAGUCACAUAAGGAAAUGAUUCUUGAAGCCAGCAAAUCACGACCACUGCCAGAGCCUGUAACAGAAGUACACACCAUUAGGUUGUAUAAACCACUUUCAUGGAUGUUGAUUACAAUGGUUACUCAAAUUUUGAAGAAAGUCAUGACACCAAUUUUGAUAAAUUGAAAUAUUUGGAACAUAGAGAAGGGGAUGGCAGAGCUAUAUAUAAUUAUUUUUGCCGGAUGAAGUUGACCGAUCCAAAUUUAUUUUACUUGUUUGAUAUUGAUGAUGAUGGGCAUCUAAAAAAUGUUUUCUGGGCUGAUUCCAGGCCAAGGAUUGCUUAUAAUUACUUUAAUGACACAGUUACAAUAGACACAAAUUGUUUGGCAAACAAAUAUGAGAUCCCUUUGAUGUCAUUUGUUGGUAUAAACCAUCAUGGACAUUCUGUUCUAUUGGGAUGUGGCUUCCUUGGACAUGAAUCAGUGGAUUAUUUUGUAUGGAUAUUCAAGGCAUGGCUUCAGUGUAUGCUUGGUCGUCCUCCACAUGUUAUUACUGACCAGUGCAAGCCAUUGCAAAUUGCAGUUGCUCGGGUUUUCCCUCAUGCUCGUCAUUGUUAUUCUUUGCAGUAUAUCAUGCAAAGAGUUCCAGAAAAGUUGGGAGGGUUGCAAGGAUAUGGACCAAUCAGAAGAAAGCUGUAUAAUGCUGUCUAUGAGUCAUUAAAGAUAGUUGAGUUUGAAUCUUCUUGGGCUGAUAUGAUUAAAUGUCAUGGACUGGUAGAUAACAAGUGGCUUCAGACAUUGUAUAAAGAUAGGCAUCUAUGGGUUCCUGUUUAUCUAAAAGAUGCUUUUUUUAUAGGACUGAUCCCAACUAAAGAAAACAGGGCCUUACGACGUUUUUGAUGGAUAUGUGCAUAAAUACACAUCCUUUAAGGAAUUUCUUGACAAGUAUGACUUGGCUCUGCACAGGAAGCACUUGAAAGAAGCCAUGGCGGAUUUGGAGUCUAGAAAAGUAAGCUUUGAAUUGAAAACGAGAUGUAAUUUUGAGGUCCAGCUUGCAAAGGGGUUUACAAAAGAAAUCUUUCAAAAGUUUCAAUCUGAGGUUGAUGGCAUGUACUCUUGCUUCAACACAAGACAGGUAAGUGUCAAUGGAUCUAUAAUAACAUACAUUGUGAAAGAAAGUGUUGAAGUUGAGGGGAAUGAGAAGGGAGUUAAAAGUUUUGAAGACUUAUACGAGACUACAGAAUUGGAUAUUCGUUGCAUUUGCAGUUUGUUCAAUUACAAAGGAUAUCUGUGCAAGCAUGCAUUGAAUGUUCUCAAUUAUAACAGCAUUGAGGAAAUCCCAUCUCAGUACAUCCUGAACCGUUGGAGAAGGGAUUUCAAGCAAACGUUUAAUCAAUUCCAUGUCUCUGAUAACAUUGAUACCUACAACCCUGUGGACUUGUAUACUCAUCUGUUCAACAGUGCUCUUCCAGUGUUAGAAGUAGGGGCACAGUCACGGGAACAUUAUAUGGUUGCUGUAUAAGAACUGGAGGAGUUGUUAGGCAAGUUUGAUAUAGAGGACUAUAACUUAUUGUAAACAAUUAAUACAAGAUCCCCAUCCCCUAGUUAUAAUGAUGUUACUUCUAAUUGACUGUUUAUAACUCUCCCGUGGUUGGUUUAUUCCAAGUUUUUGUGCUACAGGUGAUUGUAUAAAACGAAAUGCCAGUGGCUCAGUGCCAAUUACAUAACAUUUUUCUUUUAAAUGAUUUGGACUGUGUUGAUACUAAUACAUUUGCAAGAGUUCUAGCUUUUCACCUUC